GGCACUGUAGCCAAGUGGUUACGGCGACAGAUUCGAAAUCUGUUCCUCUUUGAGGGCGUAGGUUCGAAUCCUGCCAGUGUCG
This 82-nucleotide transfer RNA is filed under the name Plicaturopsis crispa FD-325 SS-3. RNAcentral's name for it is "tRNA-Ser (CGA) (tRNA-Ser-CGA-1-1, tRNA-Ser-CGA-1-2)". It matches the Rfam family "tRNA". From Rfam's summary of the family: Transfer RNA (tRNA) molecules are approximately 80 nucleotides in length. Their secondary structure includes four short double-helical elements and three loops (D, anti-codon, and T loops). Lineage: Eukaryota; Fungi; Basidiomycota; Agaricomycetes; Amylocorticiales; Amylocorticiaceae. The record is from RNAcentral.